UACGGAGGGUGCGAGCGUUAUCCGGAUUCACUGGGUUUAAAGGGUGCGUAGGUGGGAAUGUAAGUCAGUGGUGAAAUCUCUGAGCUUAACUCAGAAACUGCCAUUGAUACUAUGUUUCUUGAAUUUUCUGGAGGUCAGCGGAAUAUGUCAUGUAGCGGUGAAAUGCUUAGAUAUGACAUAGAACACCAAUGGCGAAGGCAGCUGGCUACAGGGAUAUUGACACUGAGGCACGAAAGCGUGGGGAUCAAACAGG
RNAcentral lists this ribosomal RNA (253 nucleotides) under uncultured bacterium. Its description in RNAcentral is "partial 16S ribosomal RNA". It matches the Rfam family "Bacterial small subunit ribosomal RNA", at positions 524 to 776 of the family's 1533-position model. The record is from RNAcentral.